This is a regulatory RNA element of Homo sapiens (human), 49 nucleotides long. The record is from Rfam. Lineage: Eukaryota; Metazoa; Chordata; Mammalia; Primates; Hominidae.
GGUAAACGGGAAGAGGGGCCAGCCCUAGGCCCCUCCAAACAAUGGGGCA